This 108-nucleotide small nucleolar RNA is filed under the name Gossypium arboreum. Its description in RNAcentral is "Plant small nucleolar RNA R71". It matches the Rfam family "Plant small nucleolar RNA R71". Rfam says of the family: R71 is a member of the C/D box family of snoRNAs containing the C (UGAUGA) and D (CUGA) box motifs. Multiple nearly identical copies of this snoRNA have been identified in Arabidopsis, and it is thought to function as a 2'-O-ribose methylation guide for 18S ribosomal RNA. The record is from Rfam by way of RNAcentral. Lineage: Eukaryota; Viridiplantae; Streptophyta; Magnoliopsida; Malvales; Malvaceae.
AUUCCAUGAUGAGGGCACUUUCGUAGUAAUUCUUUGUACCUUUCUCAUGCCUCAUAUAAGGACUCGUGAUCUAUUUGUUGGAAAAUAUUAAUUUCAUUCCACAAGCAU